UUGGAGAGUUUGAUUCUGGCUCAGGACGAACGCUGGCGGCGUGCUUAACACAUGCAAGUCGAACGGAAAGGCCCUUCGGGGUACUCGAGUGGCGAACGGGUGAGUAACACGUGGGUGAUCUGCCCUGCACUUUGGGAUAAGCCUGGGAAACUGGGUCUAAUACCGAAUACACCCUGCUGGUCGCAUGGCCUGGUGGGGGAAAGCUUUUGCGGUGUGGGAUGGGCCCGCGGCCUAUCAGCUUGUUGGUGAGGUUACGGCUCACCAAGGCGACGACGGGUAGCCGGCCUGAGAGGGUGACCGGCCACACUGGGACUGAGAUACGGCCCAGACUCCUACGGGAGGCAGCAGUGGGGAAUAUUGCACAAUGGGCGCAAGCCUGAUGCAGCGACGCCGCGUGGGGGAUGACGGCCUUCGGGUUGUAAACCUCUUUCAGUAGGGACGAAGCGCAAGUGACGGUACCUACAGAAGAAGGACCGGCCAACUACGUGCCAGCAGCCGCGGUAAUACGUAGGGUCCGAGCGUUGUCCGGAAUUACUGGGCGUAAAGAGCUCGUAGGUGGUUUGUCGCGUUGUUCGUGAAAACCGGGGGCUUAACCCUCGGCGUGCGGGCGAUACGGGCAGACUUGAGUACUGCAGGGGAGACUGGAAUUCCUGGUGUAGCGGUGGAAUGCGCAGAUAUCAGGAGGAACACCGGUGGCGAAGGCGGGUCUCUGGGCAGUAACUGACGCUGAGGAGCGAAAGCGUGGGGAGCGAACAGGAUUAGAUACCCUGGUAGUCCACGCCGUAAACGGUGGGUACUAGGUGUGGGUUUCCUUCCUUGGGAUCCGUGCCGUAGCUAACGCAUUAAGUACCCCGCCUGGGGAGUACGGCCGCAAGGCUAAAACUCAAAGAAAUUGACGGGGGCCCGCACAAGCGGCGGAGCAUGUGGAUUAAUUCGAUGCAACGCGAAGAACCUUACCUGGGUUUGACAUGCACAGGACGCUGGUAGAGAUAUCAGUUCCCUUGUGGCCUGUGUGCAGGUGGUGCAUGGCUGUCGUCAGCUCGUGUCGUGAGAUGUUGGGUUAAGUCCCGCAACGAGCGCAACCCUUGUCUCAUGUUGCCAGCACGUUAUGGUGGGGACUCGUGAGACUGCCGGGGUCAACUCGGAGGAAGGUGGGGAUGACGUCAAGUCAUCAUGCCCCUUAUGUCCAGGGCUUCACACAUGCUACAAUGGCCGGUACAAAGGGCUGCGAUGCCGUGAGGUGGAGCGAAUCCUUUCAAAGCCGGUCUCAGUUCGGAUCGGGGUCUGCAACUCGACCCCGUGAAGUCGGAGUCGCUAGUAAUCGCAGAUCAGCAACGCUGCGGUGAAUACGUUCCCGGGCCUUGUACACACCGCCCGUCACGUCAUGAAAGUCGGUAACACCCGAAGCCGGUGGCCUAACCCCUUGUGGGAGGGAGCCGUCGAAGGUGGGAUCGGCGAUUGGGACGAAGUCGUAACAAGGUAGCCGUACCGGAAGGUGCGGCUGGAUCACCUCCUUU
RNAcentral lists this ribosomal RNA (1517 nucleotides) under Mycolicibacterium monacense. Its description in RNAcentral is "bacterial SSU rRNA". It matches the Rfam family "Bacterial small subunit ribosomal RNA". The record is from RNAcentral. Lineage: Bacteria; Bacillati; Actinomycetota; Actinomycetes; Mycobacteriales; Mycobacteriaceae.